UUUUAUAUGCAAAGGUCCUCAGGCUACCAAUUACUGGUGUGUUCAGGGAUCAGGCAGCAGUUCUGAGUGGCUUGGUCAGUGUGUCCUGUCUCCUGAGGUUUCCUCUUUCAGUCAAGUGCCACCUCUUCCCCUUCAGGACCUAUACGAGGCAGGGGAACUGAAAUGGGGAACAGAUGAAGCCCAGUUCAUUUACAUCUUGGGAAAUCGCAGCAAGCAGCAUCUUCGAUUGGUGUUCGAUGAGUAUCUGAAGACCACAGGGAAGCCGAUCGAAGCCAGCAUCCGAGGGGAGCUGUCUGGGGACUUUGAGAAGCUAAUGCUGGCUGUAGUGAAGUGUAUCCGGAGCACCCCGGAAUAUUUUGCUGAAAGGCUCUUCAAGGCUAUGAAGGGCCUGGGGACUCGGGACAACACCCUGAUCCGCAUCAUGGUCUCCCGUAGUGAGUUGGACAUGCUCGACAUUCGGGAGAUCUUCCGGACCAAGUAUGAGAAGUCCCUCUACAGCAUGAUCAAGAAUGAUACCUCUGGCGAGUACAAGAAGACUCUGCUGAAGCUGUGUGGGGGAGAUGAUGAUGCUGCUGGCCAGUUCUUCCCGGAGGCAGCGCAGGU
RNAcentral lists this small RNA (603 nucleotides) under Pongo abelii (Sumatran orangutan). Its description in RNAcentral is "retained intron". Lineage: Eukaryota; Metazoa; Chordata; Mammalia; Primates; Hominidae. The record is from RNAcentral.